AAUUAUUUUCACUUGAAAAUUUUGCAAUAUUUUGUUGAAUUUCAAAACUUUGUUUUAAACGCUAACUAAGCAAAGUUUAAGCUAAUUACUAAUUGCUGGCAGUGAUACUAUGCAAUUAAGUAUAUUUCUUAAUAAGCUGGCUGCACAGUGGGGCAAGAGAGCGCAAGAGAAAUGCCACAUUUUCAGCACUCAAAUCAAAUUUCACUUAUGAGCUACAAAAUUCGUUAGAUUAUUGUUGUGGAUAUUGUGUGAG
This is a long non-coding RNA of Drosophila arizonae, 253 nucleotides long. Lineage: Eukaryota; Metazoa; Arthropoda; Insecta; Diptera; Drosophilidae. The record is from RefSeq and is a predicted model, not a curated record.